This 286-nucleotide long non-coding RNA is filed under the name Callithrix jacchus (white-tufted-ear marmoset). Its description in RNAcentral is "lncRNA (ENSCJAG00000084019.1)". Lineage: Eukaryota; Metazoa; Chordata; Mammalia; Primates; Cebidae. The record is from RNAcentral.
GACAGGGUCUCACUCUGUCACCCAGGCUGAAGUCUAGUGGCAGAAUCACAGCUCACUGCAGCCUCAAACUCCUAGGCUCAAGAAAUCUUUCUGCCUCAGUCUCCUGAAUAGCCGAGGCUACAGAAACCACAAAAAACAGGAGUUGCCUACAAUUCCCUCCCACUUUCUGCCUGUUGACCAGCUCUGGCUUCAGCAUCUCUGAUCAAGGUAAUAUGAUUAAAACACAGCAUAGUCUAAUCUGUGUGGUCCUCCUCAACCAUAGCACCAUGAAACACCUCUAUCAAAG